AGUGAACGCUGGCGGCAGGCCUAACACAUGCAAGUCGAACGGCAGCACAGUAUGAGCUUGCUCUUACGGGUGGCGAGUGGUGGACGGGUGAGGAAUACAUCGGCAUCUACUUUUUCGAGGGGGAUAACGUCGGGAAACUUACGCUAAUACCGCAUACGACCUACGGGUGAAAGCAGGGGAUCUUCGGACCUUGCGCGAUCGAAUGAGCCGAUGUCGGAUUAGCUAGUUGGCGGGGUAAAGGCCCACCAAGGCGACGAUCCGUAGCUGGUCUGAGAGGAUGACCAGCCACACUGGAACUGAGACACGGUCCAGACUCCUACGGGAGGCAGCAGUGGGGAAUUUUGGACAAUGGGCGAAAGCCUGAUCCAGCCAUACCGCGUGUGUGAAGAAGGCCUUCGGGUUGUAAAGCCCUUUUGUUGGGAAAGAAAAGCAGCAGGUUAAUACCCCGCUGUGCUGACGGUACCCAAAGAAUAAGCACCGGCUAACUACGUG
Molecule: ribosomal RNA, 492 nt
Filed under: uncultured bacterium
Lineage: Bacteria
Description: partial 16S ribosomal RNA
Rfam family: Bacterial small subunit ribosomal RNA
Source: RNAcentral